RNAcentral lists this non-coding RNA (128 nucleotides) under Williamsia sp. Leaf354. RNAcentral's name for it is "SAM (S-adenosyl methionine) riboswitch aptamer". It matches the Rfam family "SAM (S-adenosyl methionine) riboswitch aptamer". From Rfam's summary of the family: SAM-IV is a mRNA element that regulates gene expression via direct sensing of S-adenosylmethionine (SAM or AdoMet). SAM-IV riboswitches share conserved nucleotide positions with the previously described SAM-I riboswitches sequence analysis and molecular recognition experiments suggest that SAM-I and SAM-IV riboswitches share similar ligand binding sites, but have different scaffolds. The record is from Rfam by way of RNAcentral. RNAcentral also lists the same sequence under 1 other name. Lineage: Bacteria; Bacillati; Actinomycetota; Actinomycetes; Mycobacteriales; Nocardiaceae.
GGUCAUGAGUAUCAGCGCCAAGCCCCGGCUCGCUGAUCGGCAACCCUCCAACCGCGGUGGGGUGCUCCGGGUGAAAGACCAGGUUGUGGGCGUUCGCCGAAGGCGACGCUCCGCAGCAAGCGCGGGUC